Hydra vulgaris (swiftwater hydra) is the source of this 694-nucleotide non-coding RNA. NCBI's taxonomy places the organism in Eukaryota, Metazoa, Cnidaria, Hydrozoa, Anthoathecata, Hydridae. The record is from RefSeq and is a predicted model, not a curated record.
CAUAAUUUGAAUUUUAAAGUUCUUAUUUCAUUGUUUUGCUAUUUGGUUUUAUGAGCUAAAUAUGUUAAUCAAUCUUUUUAUUCUUGUUUGUAGAGCUGUGAAAUGUUAUUCUCAACGAGCUUGCAGAAAUAAAAGUUCUUUUAAAAUAAGUUAUAGAAAUUAAGUUUCAGGCUACUGGGGUGAAAUUGCUAGAAUCAGUGGACGAAGUGGUUACACUGGAUAAUAAACUAAAAGAUAAAACCGAGUAUACUAAUUUGCUUGAUAGUUUGAAAAAGAUUGGUGGUGGAAAGCCAAAAGAACAUGCUUUUUUGAUCAUGAAAAUAUAAAUGAUUAUGUUUUUAUUAAUUAUUAGAAAUAUGAUUAAAAUGGACCAAAAGCAAUUCAUUUUGACUGUUAUUUGUUAUGGAUUUACUUUUAACAUGACAAUUUGAUAAACUCUGGAGCUUCACUGUAGGUGUUAAAGUUUGUUUGUGUGCUAAAGUUAUUUUCGAAUCAGUUACAGUCCAAAUUUAAUCGAAAAGGAAAUGGGGAAAAGAUAAGCUUAGAAAAUCUAGUAAAUAUAUGGAGUGUUUUACGAGAUAUCGGCGACGUGGAAGAAAAUGUUGACGGCAAUGAAGAAAUAUAGUUGUUUAUGUAUAUUUUUGUGAAAUAAAAAUUAAGUAAUGUUAGUUAAAAUGUUUCUUUACUUAUUUAA